This 2818-nucleotide long non-coding RNA is filed under the name Homo sapiens (human). RNAcentral's name for it is "HSALNT0150857". The record is from RNAcentral. Lineage: Eukaryota; Metazoa; Chordata; Mammalia; Primates; Hominidae.
CACCGGAUCAGGAGGCAGGCUUGUUCACAGUCCUUCUUGGUCAGCCGUUGAUUUCCAGAAUGUCCACAGGCAGGUAGUUUCUUUUCAUUUCUUUCAAAGGUUUCAUUUUCUCCUGCUGUUCACACUGCAUGAGAAUUGGGAGCAGGACAUUGUAAAUACUUUAGCCACCCUGCAUUUUGAAGUUAAAGGGCACGCUGUGAAGCAGGCCAUGGGGUGGAGAGAAAGCAGUGGGCCAGAAGUUGGCAGCACGUUGAUUCUCAUCCCUGAUCCCCACUCUGUAUGUAUGAAUUUGCCCCAUCUUUAUGCUUUGGAAGCCUCUGUUUUAUCAUCAGAGGGAAUUUUUUUUUCUUCUUUUUUUAAGUAGUGGAGUCUUUCAAAUACGGGGGAAAUCUUAUAUACACUUCCUCAAAUAUUAAAAAAUAUGUAUUUGCAUUUUUAUAUGUAUAUAUGUAUAAAAAGUGCAGCUAUUUUGAUUGAACUAAGGUUUAGGACCAGACUGUCACCAGCUCAGGCUAUCUGUCCUGAGCGCCCUGAGGCACUUCCUCUGUUGGGCCUCCACUAGCCUGGAAGUUUGGGUGAAUUUUUUAAAAAGCGUCAUGCCCUAGUCUGAUGCAGCCCCCGCACCAGGCCCUAUAUGGGAGCAAGGUGAGCAAGGGCUCAGGGGAAGCCACUCCCCUCCCCUUGGUCUGCUACAAAUUGCCCAGGUCCUGCCCUCAGACUCCUAGCAGUUGAAAAUUGUUGAACUUGGUUGCUCCAACGAGCUUCUUCCAGAUCUUCAGUGUAAUAGACACAGCCAAUCUGGAUUGAGGACUGGAGUCUACACCGCCGUGAACCACUGGAGUUGUCAGAUGAAGGUGGCAGAAUGGAGAGAAGUAUCAGGCAUAAGCUACAGUCAUAUAAACCUUGAUACAGAUGUGAAUUGACGUGUCUGCUUCCUCUUCGCCUUCUGCCAUGAUUGUAAGUUUCCUGAGGCUUCCCUAGUCAUGCUUCCUGUACAGCCCUCAGAACUCUUAAAGGUGAACAAGCUGGGUAGCAAGGGCCUGCAGAGAAGCAUUGGCUUUGAGGAGACUCACAGCCAGUUAGUGAUAAAAACACAUCCAUAAAAACCUGUGCUUGUCCUAAUGAGAGCUUUUCCACUGCAGGAAGUGCCUUCCAUAUAAAUGAGCCUCAACAAAUACUUCUUGGUGAUUAAAGUUUGGAAGUUUCUAUAAAGUGAUGUCAGGAGAAGACGGCUGGCUUCUAAAUACCCUCUCAAGAUUAUGAUAACCUUGAAAAAUUUAUCCCAAUUAGUUCCUCAGCUUGAUGGGCUCAGAAACUUAGUUUAACUGAACUUAUAAACUUCUGUAUAAAUUGUUAUUCCAAUUAAUUUAUUUAAAGUGAGAAUGAUGCAUUAAUGUUCACAUUGGCCUUAGCAGUACAUUCCUUGGAUGAAGGCUGAUUUAUGUGGGGAGUCAAGUUAUCAUAAGAAGAAAUCGUGGUUUGUAUCACAUUAAAAGUGAAAUCCUUACAUUUAUGGUCAACUGGUUUUCAACAAAGGUGUCAAGUCUAUUUAGUAAAGGAUAGGACAGUAUUUUUAGCCGGGAAAAUUGGAUAUACACAUGCAAAAAAAAUAAUCUUAGCCCCCUACCUCACACCAUAAACAAAAAAGUUAACUCAAAAUGGAUCAUAGACCUAAAUUUAAGGGCUAAAACCAUAAAACUUCUAGAAGAACACAUAGGAGAAUGUCUUUGUGACUUUGGGUUAGGCAACAAUUUCUUAGAUCAAUAAAAGACAUAAUUAUGAAUUUGGCUUUAUCAAAAUUAAAACUUUUUCUCUUCAAAAGAAAGAAAAUGAAAAGACUAAUACCAGAAUGGGAGAAAAUAUUUUCAAAAUACAUAUCUGAUAAGGACUUCUUUCCAGAAUGUAUAAAGAACACUUACCACUCAACAAUAAGAAGACAAACAACCUAAUUAAAAGUGGGCAACAUAUUUGAAUAGAGAUUUCACAAAGAAGAUAUACAAAAUGCUAAUAAGCACAUGAAAGGAUGCUCAAUAUCAUUAUUCAUUAGAAAAAUGCCACUUGAAACCUCAAUGAGAUACCUUUACACACCCACUAGAGUGGCUGUAAUCCAAAAGACUUGCAAUACUAAGUGUUGGUGAGGAUUUGGAAAAACUGAAAUUCUCAUACAUUACUGAUGGGUAUGUAGAGCAGUAUAGUCACUUUGGAGAGCCCCUUGACAAGACCUUAAAAGAUCUAAUGCAUACUUGUGUCUAACUCAGCAAUUCUAUUCCUAACUUUUUACUCAAGAUAAAUCAAAACAUAUGUUCCUGCCAGGACUUGUUCCUGACUGUCCAUGGAAGCUUAUUCACGCAAUCCAAAUGUCCAGAAACUGGUGAAUAGACUGACAAAGUGUAGAUCCAUAAAAAGGAAUGCUGUUCAGCAAAUUUUAAAUGGUAUACUGAUAGUUAUAAUAACAUAGAUAACCUUCAAGUAUAUAAUGCUAAGUGAAAGAAGCUCAACACGACUAUCUAGUUUAUGAUUUCAUUUAUAUAACACUUCCAGAAAAGACAAAUCUAUAGAGACAGAAAACAGAUUUAUGGUUGCCUGGGGCUGAGGGUGGGAGUGGAAAUUGAUUGCAAAUGAGCACGGGGAACUUUGUGGGUGAUAAAAAUGUUCUAAAACUGGAUUGUGCUUAUGAUUAUGCAACUGUAUAAAUUUACUAAAAAUCAUUCAACUGUACACUUACAAUGGGUGACUAUUAUGAUAUGUAAAUUAUGCCUCAAUGAGUCUAUAAAAAAUUCAAGGGUGGGCAAGUAGGCUGCUGAAUAAAAUCUUUGAG